This 247-nucleotide ribosomal RNA is filed under the name uncultured Lactobacillus sp. Its description in RNAcentral is "partial 16S ribosomal RNA". It matches the Rfam family "Bacterial small subunit ribosomal RNA", at positions 116 to 355 of the family's 1533-position model. The record is from RNAcentral. Lineage: Bacteria; Bacillati; Bacillota; Bacilli; Lactobacillales; Lactobacillaceae.
CGUGGGUAACCUGCCCAAUAGAUCGGGAUAACACCUGGAAACAGAUGCUAAUACCGUAUAACAACAGAUGAUGCCUAUCAACUGUUUAAAAGAUGGUUCUGCUAUCACUCUUGGAUGGACCUGCGGUGCAUUAGCUAGUUGGUAGGGUAACGGCCUACCAAGGCGAUGAUGCAUAGCCGAGUUGAGGGACUGAUCGGCCACAUUGGGACUGAGACACGGCCCAAACUCCUACGGGGAGGCAGCAGCC